AUUGAACGCUGGCGGCAGGCCUAACACAUGCAAGUCGAGCGGAUGAAGGGAGCUUGCUCCUGGAUUCAGCGGCGGACGGGUGAGUAAUGCCUAGGAAUCUGCCUGGUAUUGGGGGAUAACGUCCGGAAACGGGCGCUAAUACCGCAUACGUCCUGAGGGAGAAAGUGGGGGAUCUUCGGACCUCACGCUAUCAGAUGACCCUAGGUCGGAUUAGCUAGGUGGUGGGGUAAAGGCCUACCAAGGCGACGAUCCGUAACUGGUCUGAGAGGAUGAUCAGUCACACUGGAACUGAGACACGGUCCAGACUCCUACGGGAGGCAGCAGUGGGGAAUAUUGGACAAUGGGCGAAAGCCUGAUCCAGCCAUGCCGCGUGUGUGAAGAAGGUCUUCGGAUUGUAAAGCACUUUAAGUUGGGAGGAAGGGCAGUAAGUUAAUACCUUGCUGUUUUGACGUUACCAACAGAAUAAGCACCGGCUAACUUCGUG
This 484-nucleotide ribosomal RNA is filed under the name uncultured bacterium. RNAcentral's name for it is "partial 16S ribosomal RNA". It matches the Rfam family "Bacterial small subunit ribosomal RNA", at positions 30 to 507 of the family's 1533-position model. The record is from RNAcentral.